UUAUGUUGUGAUAGAUGCAUGUUUACAAGGUUUGGAAGAUUGACGAGUAUGUUUCAUCGUGACAGGUAUUUUCUUGUAUUGAUUUUUAUGAAUCCUUAAACUUUGCCAAUUCUAUGCCUGAUUUGGAAGAUUGACGAGUAUGUUUCAUCGUGACAGGUAUUUUCUUGUAUUGAUUUUUAUGAAUCCUUAAACUUUGCCAAUUCUAUGCCUGACUUCAAUGUGCCAUGGCUUUGCAGGUUUUGUCAUGCCAUCCUCUUUGAUAAAUGAUGCUUAAUGGUUGGAUGUUACUACUGCCUUGUGAUGCAUUACAGGUUUUGUUUUUGAGACGAACUAGCUUAUGGUGACAUGACUAGUUAUGGACCAAGGUCUUUUCUUCAUGUGUCAUGAUGUUGUAACACGUCGGUACCUGUUUUAAACCUUGCGUAAUUAGUGCUUCUGCAGGUUGUGCUCUACUGAUAUAAUGAUGACAUUUGGUUACGCGACCGUUUGAGUUCGAUCUGGUAUGCGACUUAACGCAGGUUUUGCUGUGACCACUGAUGUGUUGCAGGAUGCUGAUUAACUCAUUCCUGUUGGUAAGCCUAUCAUUACCAUAGAGUUAAACCAUCUCUUUCAUUGUGUGGUAUGAUAACAUUACCGAUGUAUUCAGUCUGUGUUAGUAACCUACUGCAGGUCUGUGAACCUCGAAGUUUUUUCUCAGUUUUAUGUAUUCUAAAAUUUGGAUGCUGCAUUUUGCAGGUUGCAGUUUUUGACUGCUUGCGCAGAAAAUGUAUCUGUCCAAAAGUAGACUGUCACGCUGGAUUGUAAUCAUUGCAGGAUGCGUCACAUUUGGUAGGUUGCAGUUUCAUGUUAUUUUGGCUUGACUGAUUAUUGCAUGUUUUGGAUCGAUACACAUUGCUUGCCAAUUUCAGGUUGGUAAUUCGGAUGGAAGCAAGGCAGUGCAUACUGAUUGACUGAUCAAGGUGAACUGUUACCUUUGUGUUGCAG
This 984-nucleotide long non-coding RNA is filed under the name Lathyrus oleraceus (garden pea). RNAcentral's name for it is "Pisum sativum (pea) long non-coding RNA (PSAT_LNC011804)". The record is from RNAcentral. Lineage: Eukaryota; Viridiplantae; Streptophyta; Magnoliopsida; Fabales; Fabaceae.